GUCUCCCUCUUCCUGUCUAGAAAAAAGAGGUUCUCUCGUUUGAUCUCGGAAGCUAAGCAGGGUCGGGCCUGGUUAGUACUUAGGUGGGAGACCGCCUGGGAAUACUGGGUGCUGUAGGCU
This 120-nucleotide ribosomal RNA is filed under the name Peromyscus maniculatus bairdii (prairie deer mouse). Lineage: Eukaryota; Metazoa; Chordata; Mammalia; Rodentia; Cricetidae. The record is from RNAcentral.